Molecule: long non-coding RNA, 965 nt
Organism: Mauremys reevesii (Reeves's turtle)
Lineage: Eukaryota; Metazoa; Chordata; Testudines; Geoemydidae
Exons: 3
Source: RefSeq, a predicted model, not a curated record
UCCAGCACGAUGCAGCACGAGGAGGGUCCCCAGCACUGAACCUGUGGCCCCAAAAGGGGCGCGUGGGAUCGUGCUGAGCCGGGUGGGGAAGCGCCUGGGGAGAGACCCCCCCCCAUGCCAAACUCCCCACGGCUGGGGCCCUCUGCCCCCCCCCACCAGCCCCACUGACUCCAAGGGGCCGUGGCCUGCGCAGGAAAUGCAGGUUCGGGCCUUGUGCAUUUCACCCCUUUAGUCACCUGGGCCCCCCAGUCACGGCGAGGAGAAGGGGCUCGCAGAGCAGAUCCGGCUGCGCCAUGUGUCCAUCUGGCCGCCUGGCGCGUGGGGGCCCCCGUGUCAGAAACAAAUCCCAGGCCGUGAUCUCGUGGGCUGGGGGCACCGGGCGCGGCUCCCCCCUCUACCUGCCCCGCUCAAUGCGACGGGCUCCCUGCUGGCGCCGCGGGGACAGGAACGGGGCCCACGGUUUGUGCCAUUCAGGCUGGUGCAGGGAAGAUCCAGGGGUCGUGUCCGGGGCUGAAGCAGCCGGUUCCCCAAUUGCCCUCGAUCCCCUUGGGUCUCAGCCGCAUUGCCCCCCCGCAGCGGAUGGAUCCGGGUGCAGAUGCAGCCCACUUCACUGGCUGCCGCCCAGGAGCAAACACCACUGGUUUUCCCAGGCCAUGUCUCCUGCCCAGCUCGCCAUCCAGGAGCGGGAGAGUGGAGCAGCUGGAAGAAUUCAGGGGGGCAGAUCAAAGGGGUUGCAUGAACAUGGACUCGUCCAGCCUACUAAGUUCUUGGCCUCCGUGAUUUCUUGUGACAGUGAGUUCCGCAGUCUCAUGCCAUGUUAGAGUCACGUUGACACCGUGCCUGGAAACCGUAGCUUCACCAGGAGCUCGCGCUGCAAAACCACUGAGAGGUGCAAAGCUUGUGGGGAGGAAGCGAGAAAGGAGAUUAAAGAGCCUCACGACCACAGGCGCUCAGGGCUGCAUCCU